UACAUUUUGGUGUAUGAUGCACAAAAGUUUUUGAUACUUUCGGGAAUAGUUUAAAUCUAUUAAAUGUAA
RNAcentral lists this transfer RNA (69 nucleotides) under Anabropsis maguanensis. RNAcentral's name for it is "tRNA-Gln". Lineage: Eukaryota; Metazoa; Arthropoda; Insecta; Orthoptera; Anostostomatidae. The record is from RNAcentral.